This is a long non-coding RNA of Podarcis raffonei (Aeolian wall lizard), 1599 nucleotides long. RefSeq lists it as uncharacterized. Lineage: Eukaryota; Metazoa; Chordata; Lepidosauria; Squamata; Lacertidae. The transcript has 3 exons. The record is from RefSeq and is a predicted model, not a curated record.
GGGAAGCGGUUGGGUGGUGGGGCUGGGGAAUCCUUUGCCAUCGGCUCCCUUCCUUGUUUAUUACGCGAUGCGUGCUGGUUCGAGCUGUUCCUCAGAACCCCUUUAACCCCCUUCGCCCUAUAUUGACCGUUUUAUUUUCUCUGUUAGGAAAUCCGGGGCGGGGGCGGGAAUGUUGCUUCGCAUUUGAAGCUUUGAGUUUUGCAACCGCCGAGGGCUAACUUGUUGCAGAGGGGAAGCUUUCUCGUUGUUUUUCCUUCUUAUGCGGGGUCCCCCCCGCCUUUCCUAUGGGGCCAGUUCACUUGCAUGCUCUUAAAAGCCCGAUUUUAUUUAAUCGCCCCUCCCCCCGCGUAUCUCAACUUGCAGCCAUACCGAUCGGAUCCUAACUGGUGCACAUGAUGACUUAAAACUUUUUUCCCCAUCAGAGCGUCAGUGUUGAUCUCUUUGCUGUUACAGCCAGAAUCUGUCUGAUGCACCAGUGUUUUAACAGCGAGAGGGGAGGGCGGUUGAGAGUCUCUUGAGCCCAAUUCAUGCAGUUUGCAAGAGCAAAUCUCUAUCGGUUAAUCUGACUGGUGGGUGUCUUUCCGUUUAGGGCGACGAUGCCGCUAGGCAUGCACAGAGCGAACUGCUGCAAAAAUCGAGCUGGGCGCAAGGAGGCGAUGGAGUCACCCGAAACCUGCACGCGAUCUGAAUACACGUGAUCUGAGUGAGCCUGAAGUUUAAUCAUUGAGCCCAUGCAGAAGAGAUGGGUGACUUGAAAUAAAACCUUGAAAGGAGGACAUCUUGCUCUGAUCCUACACAAGAAGCAUGGAAGACUGCAGCACCGUAUGUCAGACUGAAUGCUUGGACGGCAAGGGAAAUUGUGAAGUCUUCCAAGUGCUGUAAGUUUUGCAAGACCAAAUGGCCAUUUAGAAGAUUGUGGCAGGGCGCUUAAAUGGUGUGCUAUUCAGUGGUACAUGAUGACUUAAUCUUUUUUCCCCAUCUUAUCGGCAAUGCUGAUAAAACAUGCGUUCUAGCCAGAUGGUCUGAUUCCACUGAUGUCCAAAUCUUACAUUGCAUGCUUUAGUAUUGCACUUCGAAGACAGAAGCCUAAUGUAAAUAUUCUGCUAUAAAUGCACACUGCUUGCUGGAUUUUCAUGAUGGUGGGAGCAUGAGGGUUGUGGAUAAUGAGAAGGUGCAGGCAACUUCCCCAAGACUGCUGACCUCUUGAUUCUUUGGUUUAUUACGUAACUGGUGCAGGAGGGUAGAUUUGAGAUCUACCUACCUAGUGUAACGUACAUACCUAUUGAAUGGUUAUUGCCCUUGUGUGAAUAGAUGGAUAAAUGCUUUACUUUCCUUUGAAUAGAUGGCUAGUCUUAUAAAACAAUUCAAAUUUCUGCAACAACAGCUUUGUGCUGUAAGAGCUAAUGUAAGAGCAGCCUUUAUUUGUCGAGCCCUUUGACUACUGUUUUGGCUUCAGGGCAGAUUUAAGAACCCCUGAGGAGAUAUGAUUUGUUGUUGUUUAGUCGUGUCUGACUCUUUGUGACCCCAUGGACCAGAGCACGCCAGGCACUCCUGUCUUCCACUGCCUCCUGCAGUUUGGUCAAACUCAUGUUAGUAGCU